RNAcentral lists this small RNA (499 nucleotides) under Pan troglodytes (chimpanzee). Its description in RNAcentral is "processed transcript". The record is from RNAcentral. Lineage: Eukaryota; Metazoa; Chordata; Mammalia; Primates; Hominidae.
AUGCCCUGCCCUGCCUUGCAUUUGCUCUGCCCUGGUUCUACACUGGCCCUGGACCCGCAGGCCAGCACAGUUCUGUGGCCUCUGCACCAGGGUUUCACUCAAGGAGGAGUGGGGGCAGAGAGUGUGGGUGAGCCAGCGUUCCCUGAGGAGCUGCCUUUCUUGGGGACAUUGCCCUGGACGAAGAGGACCUGAGGGCCUUCCAGGUACAGCAGGCUGCGGAUCUCAGACAACACACAGCUCGUAAGUCCUCCAUCAAAGCUGCAGUUGCAGGAAACACUUCUACCCCCAGCUGCCAGAGCACCAACGGGCAGCCUCAGAGGGGAGCCUGUGGGAGAUGGAGAGGUAGAUCCCGUAGCCGGCGGGCGGCGACGUCCCGACCAGAGCGUGUGUGGCCCGAUGGGGUCAUCCCCUUUGUCAUUGGGGGAAACUUCACUGGUAGCCAGAGGGCAGUCUUCCGGCAGGCCAUGAGGCACUGGGAGAAGCACACCUGUGUCACCUU